GCGGCCGGGAGGCGCCAGACCCGCCAGCGGCUGCGGGAUGCCACGUGAGGGGCGGGGACCCCGCGGGGAGGGGAUUAAAAGCCCCCGGAGCCGCGGGCAGCGCGGGUCCCGGGCAUGAGCUCCGAGUUGGGGCCCGGAGGGCCUCGGUGCCAGGCGGCGCUCGCGGUCCUGGCUUCGCUCUGCCGGGUCCGGCCGCCCCCUCUCGGGCUGGACGCGGAGACUUGUCGGAGCUUGGAGCGGCCCGAGCAGAGUCCCAGCGCGGCCGACGCAGGAGCUACCAGCAGCCUCCUCGCUGUGGUGGUGAUUGUGUGUGGCGUGGCCCUGGUGGCACUUUUUCUCUUUCUUUUUUGGAAGCUGUGCUGGCUGCCCUGGCAGAGCAAGGAGGCCUCCAGCCCCUCGUGUGCUGACCUUCCUCCAGAGGCCUUCCCGAGUCCCUGCUCCCGGAACACCAUGGCUGACAAGCUGAAGGACCCGAGUGCCCUGGGCUUCCUGGAGACAGCCGUGAAGAUCAGCCAUACAUCCCCUGACAUCCCGGCUGAGGUACAGAUGUCAGUCAAAGAGCAUAUCAUGCGCCACACGCGGCUGCAGCGCCAGACCACCGAGCCUGCCUCGUCCACCAGGCACACUUCCUUCAAGCGCCACCUGCCCCGGCAGAUGCACGUGUCCAGUGUGGACUAUGGCAACGAGCUGCCGCCUGCUGCGGAGCAGCCCACCAGCAUCGGCCGCAUCAAGCCCGAGCUCUACAAGCAGAAAUCUGUGGAUGGGGAUGACGCCAAGUCCGAGGCAGCGAAGAACUGUGGGAAGAUCAACUUCAGCCUGCGCUACGACUAUGAGAGCGAGACCCUGAUCGUGCGCAUCCUGAAGGCCUUCGACCUCCCCGCCAAGGACUUCUGUGGCAGCUCCGACCCUUAUGUCAAGAUCUACCUCCUGCCUGACCGCAAGUGUAAGCUGCAGACCCGGGUGCACCGCAAGACCCUAAAUCCCACCUUCGAUGAGAACUUCCACUUCCCUGUGCCCUACGAGGAGCUGGCCGACCGCAAGCUGCACCUCAGCGUCUUCGACUUUGAUCGCUUCUCCCGCCAUGACAUGAUCGGGGAAGUCAUCCUGGACAACCUCUUUGAGGCCUCUGACCUGUCGCGGGAAACUUCCAUCUGGAAGGACAUCCAAUAUGCCACCAGCGAGAGCGUUGAUUUGGGAGAGAUCAUGUUUUCCCUCUGCUACCUUCCCACAGCCGGCAGGCUCACACUCACAGUGAUCAAGUGUCGGAACCUCAAGGCGAUGGACAUCACAGGCUAUUCAGAUCCAUAUGUCAAAGUGUCACUGCUCUGUGAUGGGCGGAGGCUGAAGAAGAAGAAAACCACCAUAAAGAAGAACACACUCAACCCUGUCUACAAUGAGGCCAUCAUCUUUGACAUCCCUCCCGAGAACAUGGAUCAAGUCAGCCUGCUCAUCUCGGUGAUGGAUUACGAUCGAGUGGGCCAUAAUGAGAUCAUAGGAGUCUGCCGGGUCGGGAUCAACGCCGAGGGUCUGGGCAGGGACCACUGGAACGAGAUGCUGGCGUAUCCGCGGAAGCCCAUCGCUCACUGGCACUCCUUAGUGGAGGCAAAGAAAUCCUUCAAAGAGGGAAACCCUCGGUUGUGAUUUCAUUCACGUGGAUGCUGCGAGCAGAGAGACUGGCACCUGGAGUUAGGAUGGCAGGGCCGAGCCGCCAGCUUUGACAGCGAGAGCUCGUGUCCGUCUCCGAAACCACCUCCGACACCAUGAGUCGCCUGGCUGAGCGACACACACCGGACUCAGAAACGUUCAUUUUGCACUUGUUCAACCGUCUAAACAGUGUUGUAAGGUGGUGGUGGCGGUCGCGGCGUCCUUGGCGCUCUUUCUCCAGAUUCUUCACUGCGCCCUGUGUAGGUCAAGGCCGAGACACUUGUCAUGUGUUCAGAUCUGUCUUAGUCUUGUCUGUCUCCCCAGGUGAUGUUUUAUGUGGUUUUUUCACUUCUUAUGAAUCUGUGACACAAGAGAAGGGGGGGUGGUUUCAAACAGGGGCAAAAUGGCAAGAGUUGAGAACUCAGAAGUUUUUUCCACCCGAGACAAUGUACAUUAUUAGUUCAGGGAGGUGAGCAAAGCCUCUGAAUUUUGCCUCCCUCAAACUAGUGAAGAAGCAAGUGGCAAUGAGCAAGUGUUGCUUUUUCUGGGCUCUGCUGG
This is an RNA transcript of Sorex fumeus (smoky shrew), 2202 nucleotides long. It is a transcript of the gene named synaptotagmin 6, with no coding region annotated. The record is from RefSeq and is a predicted model, not a curated record. The transcript has 8 exons. NCBI's taxonomy places the organism in Eukaryota, Metazoa, Chordata, Mammalia, Eulipotyphla, Soricidae.